ACACUGCUUUCAGUCAUGCAUGUGGAAAGGUAGGUUGUUGAAAGUAGAAUUAAACAUUAAACCGGUUUUAGUAUUAUCUGUUAGGAAAGCAACUUAUCUGUAUUGAAGGCCCAAAGGGCAUAUAUAUUACACAUGACUUGAGGUGCAAGGAAAGUAAACAUAGACUAAUAAGGACUCCUAGACUAAUANCCCCCCCCCCCCCCCCUUCAAAUGCAAAGCGUAUGCAAUAGCAUUGCAUUUGAAGAAGUGUAAUACUAAAGAAAAAUGAUAAUCCAAAUCCACGUCUUGAGAGUGUAGUCGUAGCAUGAAGAGUCUUCAAAACUUGUCGAGUCGCCGAAGGAGAGAACGAAGAGAUGGCACAUCAGAAGUAGACACCGCAUCACUUGAAGAUACAAGAUAAGUAUCAAGAGAAGAUGGGUUGUCAAAAGAAGAUGGCACAUCAAGAGAAUAAAGCAUUGUGCAGAAAAUCAUAGUCCACGACAACCGACGGCGAAAGAAGCUCGGUGGUUAAGGCACAUGGACGUAGAUCGACAAUGCAAAAGAAGUCCAGAAAAUCCUAUAGAAAACAACAAGGGCAAGUAGGCCACAAAAGUUGCAUAGAAAGGAUCAGGACCGGAGAAAGGCUGACGGACUAAGGUAUGGUGGACUCGCAUGGCAUGAGAAAACACAAAAUAUGAACGAAUUUGGUGGACGCAGCGGAAAAAAACUGAAAAGCAUAUACGAACGCGAUAGCAAGCAUCAGCAUGUGAGCAGCGGUAGUAGCUUAUAGAAAAGCGCCAGCAAGCAUGUAGGCAAGCAACACAGGAUAGCAGGAGGAAAGCCGCACAAGGGACAACACGCAGCCAUGCAAGCAAUGCGUAACAAACCCAUGUAGAGCUGUAUCAACACAGCAGCAGGAACGCGGACCACCAGAAGCUACCAAGCAAGUAGCUUGCAUGGGCGGUGGCUGGAUCCCACGAGCGGACUUACAGGCAGCGGCCUGAGGUGAGCUUCGAUGUGGCAAGAUGUCCGUGCAGACCGAUCUGAGAGGCUGCGCUUGCUGGACAAGCUGUCGUGGCUCGAUCUGGAGGCUGACAGCAGGGACUGGCUUGCAGGAGACUUGCCUGACGGGUGAACGCAGCAGACCGAUGGGCAGAUCGGGCGGGCACAGCCAUGGACAACGGAUCCUGGAGAUUUGGAGAGGGAGGUGACGGGGCGCCAGCAUCCAAUAGCAGAGCAUGAGAUCGAUCCGCAGACGGGAUCGAGAUCUGAUCUGGCGGCGGCUGGGGGCGGCGGAGGCUGGAGACGCGGGGGAGGACGGGCGCGGCGGCGGCUGGAGACGCGGUGGCAGGGGCCGCCUGCGGGAGAUCUGGAGGGAGACGGCGUCACGGAAGGCCGGCUUCAGCGGCCGCGUCAGGUCACUCCAUACGCCGCACGCGAACGCCACGCUCGGCCCACCAUCGUCAGGAUUCAAGGAUCCGUCCAGGAGACCUGCCACGGAGUCCUGUAGCUCGAGGCUGGACCGCACACCUAGGAUGCGGAGGAUCUCUUCCAGGGUCUUCCCACCAGCACCAGCGGUCAGGAGCACCAGGACGGCGUGGAUGGAGAUCGGAGAGGUUCACGGCCGCGAGUCGCUUGAUGAGGCGCAAUAGAGAAAGCGGCCAGAGAGAGAAAGCGGCGCAAUCGAAGAUUGGAUCGGGAGGGCGAGUUGCGGCGCCCGAAAAAAAUAACCUAAGCUCUAAUACCACGUUAGGAAAGCAAUUUAUCUGUAUUAAAGGCCCAAGGGGCAUAUAUAUAUUACACAUGACUUGAGGUGCAAGGAAAGUAAACAUAGACUAAUAAUGACUCCUAGACUAAUACUAAUAGACUAAUAAGGACUCCUAGACUAAUACUAAUACUUCCUAAC
Molecule: long non-coding RNA, 1885 nt
Filed under: Hordeum vulgare
Lineage: Eukaryota; Viridiplantae; Streptophyta; Magnoliopsida; Poales; Poaceae
Description: long non-coding RNA (HVUL_LNC009996)
Source: RNAcentral